RNAcentral lists this ribosomal RNA (500 nucleotides) under uncultured bacterium. Its description in RNAcentral is "partial 16S ribosomal RNA". It matches the Rfam family "Bacterial small subunit ribosomal RNA", at positions 29 to 523 of the family's 1533-position model. The record is from RNAcentral.
AGUGAACGCUGGCGGCAGGCCUAACACAUGCAAGUCGAGCGGCAGCGCGGGGGCAACCCUGGCGGCGAGCGGCGGACGGGUGAGGAAUUCGUCGGAAUCUGCCUUUUUGUGGGGGAUAACGUAGGGGAACUUACGCUAAUACCGCAUACGACCUACGGGUGAAGGUGGGGGACCGCAAGGCCUCACGCAGAAAGAUGAGCCGACGACCGAUUAGCUAGUUGGUGGGGUAAAGGCCGACCAAGGCGACGAUCGGUAGCUGGUCUGAGAGGAUGAUCAGCCACACUGGGACUGAGACACGGCCCAGACUCCUACGGGAGGCAGCAGUGGGGAAUAUUGGACAAUGGGCGCAAGCCUGAUCCAGCCAUGCCGCGUGUGCGAAGAAGGCCUUCGGGUUGUAAAGCACUUUUGUCCGGAAAGAAAUCUUCCAACUUAAUACGUUGGGAGGAUGACGGUACCGGAAGAAUAAGCACCGGCUAACUUCGUGCCAGCCGCCGCGGUAA